CCCAGACUCCUACGGGAGGCAGCAGUGGGGAAUAUUGGGCAAUGGGCGCAAGCCUGACCCAGCGACGCCGCGUGAGGGAAGACGGUCUUCGGAUUGUAAACCUCUUUCAGCAGGGAAGACAAAAGGACGGUACCUGCAGAAGAAGCCACGGCUAACUACGUGCCAGCAGCCGCGGUAAUACGUAGGUGGCAAGCGUUAUCCGGAAUUACUGGGUGUAAAGGGUGUGUAGGCGGAGGUGCAAGUCAGCGGUCAAAUUGCGGGGCUCAACCCCGUACUGCCGUUGAAACUGCAUCCCUUGAGUGCGCGAGAAGUAUGCGGAAUGCGUGGUGUAGCGGUGAAAUGCAUAGAUAUCACGCAGAACUCCGAUUGCGAGGGCAGCAUACCGGCGCGCAACUGACGCUCAUGCACGAAAGCGUGGGUAUCGAACAGGAUUAGAUACCCCUGUA
This 446-nucleotide ribosomal RNA is filed under the name uncultured bacterium. RNAcentral's name for it is "bacterial SSU rRNA". It matches the Rfam family "Bacterial small subunit ribosomal RNA", at positions 330 to 792 of the family's 1533-position model. The record is from RNAcentral.